GCUCCCGUAGUGUAGUUGGUCUAUCACCCAGGACUUUGAAUCCUGUGACCGCAGUUCGAAUCUGCGCGGGAGCU
Bifiguratus adelaidae is the source of this 74-nucleotide non-coding RNA. The record is from the annotation of a GenBank genome assembly. NCBI's taxonomy places the organism in Eukaryota, Fungi, Mucoromycota, Endogonomycetes, Endogonales.